CACGUAGUUAGCCGUGACUUUCUAAGUAAUUACCGUCAAAUAAAGGCCAGUUACUACCUCUAUCUUUCUUCACUACCAACAGAGCUUUACGAGCCGAAACCCUUCUUCACUCACGCGGCGUUGCUCCAUUAGACUUUCGUCCAUUGUGGAAGAUUCCCUACUGCUGCCUCCCGUAGGAGUUUGGGCCGUGUCUCAGUCCCAAUGUGGCCGAUCAGUCUCUCAACUCGGCUAUGCAUCAUUGCCUUGGUAAGCCGUUACCUUACCAACUAGCUAAUGCACCGCAGGUCCAUCCAAGAGUGAUAGCAGAACCAUCUUUCAAACUCUAGACAUGCGUCUAGUGUUGUUAUCCGGUAUUAGCAUCUGUUUCCAGGUGUUAUCCCAGUCUCUUGGGCAGGUUACCCACGUGUUACUCACCCGUCCGCCGCUCGCUUGUAUCUAGUUUCAUUUAGUGCAAGCACUAAAAUCAUCUAGGCAAGCUCGCUCGACUUGCAUGU
This 494-nucleotide ribosomal RNA is filed under the name uncultured Lactobacillus sp. RNAcentral describes it as "partial 16S ribosomal RNA". The record is from RNAcentral. Lineage: Bacteria; Bacillati; Bacillota; Bacilli; Lactobacillales; Lactobacillaceae.